CAGUCGCCGCGGUAAUACAGAGGAUGCAAGCGUUAUCCGGAAUAAUUGGGCGUAAAGCGUGCGUAGGCGGCUUCUUAAGUCGGAUGUGAAAUCCCUGAGCUUAACUUAGGAAUUGCAUUCGAUACUGGGAAGCUAGAGUAUGGGAGAGGAUGGUAGAAUUCCAGGUGUAGCGGUGAAAUGCGUAGAGAUCUGGAGGAAUACCGAUGGCGAAGGCAGCCAUCUGGCCUAAUACUGACGCUGAGGUACGAAAGCAUGGGGAGCAAACAGGAUUAGAUACCCGAGUAGUCCCUGUCUCUUAUAA
This 301-nucleotide ribosomal RNA is filed under the name uncultured bacterium. RNAcentral's name for it is "partial 16S ribosomal RNA". It matches the Rfam family "Bacterial small subunit ribosomal RNA", at positions 509 to 809 of the family's 1533-position model. The record is from RNAcentral.